GGGCCCGCACAAGCGGAGGAACAUGUGGUUUAAUUCGAUGAUACGCGAGGAACCUUACCCGGGCUUAAAUUGCAUAUGAAUAACUUGGAAACAGGUUAGCCGCAAGGCAUAUGUGAAGGUGCUGCAUGGUUGUCGUCAGCUCGUGCCGUGAGGUGUCGGCUUAAGUGCCAUAACGAGCGCAACCCUUGUGAUUAGUUACUAACAGGUCAUGCUGAGGACUCUAAUCAGACUGCCAUCGUAAGAUGCGAGGAAGGUGGGGAUGACGUCAAAUCAGCACGGCCCUUACGUCCGGGGCUACACACGUGUUACAAUGGGGGGUACAGGAGGGUCGCUACCUGGUGACAGGAUGCUAAUCCAUUAAAACCUCUCUCAGUUCGGAUCGAAGUCUGCAACCCGACUUCGUGAAGCUGGAUUCGCUAGUAAUCGCGCAUCAGCCACGGCG
This 442-nucleotide ribosomal RNA is filed under the name uncultured Bacteroidota bacterium. Its description in RNAcentral is "bacterial SSU rRNA". It matches the Rfam family "Bacterial small subunit ribosomal RNA", at positions 917 to 1359 of the family's 1533-position model. Lineage: Bacteria; Pseudomonadati; Bacteroidota. The record is from RNAcentral.